UGUCAUGAAUAGGCGUGAUGUUUGCAA
This 27-nucleotide small RNA is filed under the name Bombyx mori (domestic silkworm). Its description in RNAcentral is "ovarian small RNA-35645". The record is from RNAcentral. Lineage: Eukaryota; Metazoa; Arthropoda; Insecta; Lepidoptera; Bombycidae.